UCCGGUUGAUCCUGGCAGAGGUUACAGCUAUCGAGGUUCGACUAAGCCAUGCGAGUCGAGUGUAGCAAUACAUGGCGAACUGCUCAGUAACACGUGGACAACCUGCCCUUAGGUUGGGUAUAAACCCGGGAAACUGGGUAUAAUACCUGAUAGGUCUCGAUUGCUGGAAUGCAUCGAGAUUUAAAGCUCCGGCGCCUAAGGAUGGGUCUGCGGCCUAUCAGGUAGUAGUGGGUGUAGCGUACCUACUAGCCUACGACGGGUACGGGUUGUGAGAGCAAGAGCCCGGAGAUGGAUUCUGAGACACGAAUCCAGGCCCUACGGGGUGCAGCAGGCGCGAAAACUUUACAAUGCUGGAAACAGGGAUAAGGGGACCUCGAGUGCCAGGUUACAAAUCUGGCUGUCGUGAUGCCUAAAAAGCAUUGCAUAGCAAGGGCCGGGCAAGACCGGUGCCAGCCGCCGCGGUAACACCGGCGGCUCGAGUGGUAACCGCUAUUAUUGGGUCUGAAGGGUCUGUAGCCGGCCGGAUAAGUCUUUUGGGAGAUCUGGCAGCUUAACUGUCAGGCUUUCAGAGGAUACUGUCUGGCUCGAGGCCGGGAGAGGUGAGAGGUACUUCAGGGGUAGGGGUGAAAUCUUGUAAUCCUUGAAGGACCACCAGUGGCGAAGGCGUCUCACCAGAACGGACCUGACGGCAAGGGAC
This 697-nucleotide ribosomal RNA is filed under the name uncultured Methanosaeta sp. RNAcentral describes it as "bacterial SSU rRNA". It matches the Rfam family "Archaeal small subunit ribosomal RNA", at positions 1 to 705 of the family's 1478-position model. The record is from RNAcentral. Lineage: Archaea; Methanobacteriati; Methanobacteriota; Methanomicrobia; Methanotrichales; Methanotrichaceae.